UAGACUAAUCUACCCCUGGAGUGGGGAAUAACGCUGGGAAACCGGCGCUAAUACCGCAUAAUCCCGAGAGGGCAAAGGAGCAAUUCGCUUCAGGAGGAGUCCGCGGCCGAUUAGCUAGUUGGCAGGGUAAAAGCCUACCAAGGCAACGAUCGGUAGCCGGCCUGAGAGGGCACACGGCCACACUGGCACUGAAACACGGGCCAG
RNAcentral lists this ribosomal RNA (204 nucleotides) under uncultured bacterium. RNAcentral's name for it is "partial 16S ribosomal RNA". It matches the Rfam family "Bacterial small subunit ribosomal RNA", at positions 118 to 334 of the family's 1533-position model. The record is from RNAcentral.